CUAAGUCUAGUGGCGGACGGGUGAGUAACGCGUGGGUAACCUGCCUCACACUGGGGGAUAACAGUCAGAAAUGACUGCUAAUACCGCAUAAGCGCACAGCAUCGCAUGAUGCAGUGUGAAAAACUCCGGUGGUGUGAGAUGGACCCGCGUUGGAUUAGCUAGUUGGUGGGGUAACGGCCUACCAAGGCGACGAUCCAUAGCCGACCUGAGAGGGUGACCGGCCACAUUGGGACUGAGACACGGCCCAAACUCCUACGGGAGGCAGCAGUGGGGAAUAUUGCACAAUGGGCGCAAGCCUGAUGCAGCGACGCCGCGUGAGCGAAGAAGUAUUUCGGUAUGUAAAGCUCUAUCAGCAGGGAAGAAAAUGACGGUACCUGACUAAGAAGCUCCGGCUAAAUACGUGCCAGCAGCCGCGGUAAUACGUAUGGAGCAAGCGUUAUCCGGAUUUACUGGGUGUAAAGGGAGCGUAGACGGUUCUGUAAGUCUGAUGUGAAAACCCGGGGCUCAACCCCGGGACGGCAUUGGAAACUAUGCAACUAGAGUGUCGGAGAGGUAAGCGGAAUUCCUAGUGUAGCGGUGAAAUGCGUAGAUAUUAGGAGGAACACCAGUGGCGAAGGCGGCUUGCUGGACGACAACUGACGCUGAGGCGCGAAAGCGUGGGGAGCAAACAGGAUUAGAUACCCUGGUAGUCCACGCUGUAAACGAUGAAUACUAGGUGUGGGAGGACUGACCCCUUCCGUGCCGCAGUUAACACAAUAAGUAUUCCACCUGGGGAGUACGACCGCAAGGUUGAAACUCAAAGGAAUUGACGGGGGCCCGCACAAGCAGUGGAUUAUGUGGUUUAAUUCGACGCAACGCGAAGAACCUUACCAGGACUUGACAUCCUACUAACGAAGCAGAGAUGCAUUAGGUGCCCUUCGGGGAAAGUAGAGACAGGUGGUGCAUGGUUGUCGUCAGCUCGUGUCGUGAGAUGUUGGGUUAAGUCCCGCAACGAGCGCAACCCCUAUUGUGAGUUGCUACGAAAGAGCACUCUAGCGAGACUGCCGUUGACAAAACGGAGGAAGGCGGGGACGACGUCAAAUCAUCAUGCCCCUUAUGUCCUGGGCUACACACGUAAUACAAUGGCACUCAACAAAGGGAGGCAAAGCCGCGAGGUGGAGCAAACCCCCAAAAAGUGUCUCAGUUCGGAUUGCAGGCUGCAACUCGCCUGUAUGAAGCUGGAAUUGCUAGUAAUCGUGGAUCAGCAUGCCACGGUGAAUACGUUACCCGGGCCUUGCACUCACCGCCCGUCA
This 1292-nucleotide ribosomal RNA is filed under the name uncultured bacterium. RNAcentral's name for it is "bacterial SSU rRNA". It matches the Rfam family "Bacterial small subunit ribosomal RNA", at positions 86 to 1399 of the family's 1533-position model. The record is from RNAcentral.